This 3341-nucleotide long non-coding RNA is filed under the name Homo sapiens (human). Its description in RNAcentral is "HSALNT0381000". Lineage: Eukaryota; Metazoa; Chordata; Mammalia; Primates; Hominidae. The record is from RNAcentral.
CAGGUUCCGGAUCUUGAUGCCCGCCUGGGGAGGGGACAGGGACCCUCAGCCCAUGGAGUCCUGUGUGAUGUUGUGAGCGUGGGAGGACAGACUGAACUGCUCGGCCCGUGGAGUCCUGUGUGAUGUUGUGAGCGGGGAGGACAGACUGAACUGCGUGGUGCUUCGCACAUAGACCUCAACAGGGAUUGGCAUUUUGAAGCUGUUGGCGGGGGCUGUGGACUGCUUUUCUUCCUUUCUAGCUCAACGGCAGCUAAAGCCACUGCAUACAAUGCAAGGACUGGCUCCUGUUUGGCCACGACUGAUUGCAGCCCCUGGUGAAAUGAGAACCCUGUGGGUCGGAACAAAGUUUGGAUUAUUUAUGUUGCAAGUAACUAAAAUCUCAAGUGAAACUGGUUUAAACAUUAUAUUUUUAUUAUUUAUUUAUUUAUAUUUAAUUCUUUUUUAGAGACAGGGUCUUCUUAGGUUGCCCAGGCUGGUCUUGAACUCCUGGCCUCAACGAUCUUCCCACUUCAGCCUCCUGCAUUGCUGGGAUUAUAGGUGUGAGCCACCAUGCCUGGCUUACACAGUAUAAAGGGAAUGCAUUGGCCCACACAGUGGAAAAAAAUAUCUAGUAGGAAUAGGAAGGACUUCAGGUGAGGUUUGAUCCAGCAGCUCAAAUGUUGUCACCACAGGCCUGGAUUCCUCUGGCCUUUCUCAAGGUCUCUUUCAUUUUCAUGCUCCACAAGAUGGCUUCUGCCAGGCUGACCUCCCUCCCCUGACCCCAGCAGCUCUGGACACCCCUCUCAGUGCCAUUUAUAUUGUUGCAUCAAUAGGCUCAUUUCUAUAUACUGCAAGGUUCAGAGAAGACAGAGUAUCUCUCUCAAGAGUUCUAACAUAAGUCUGGGGGUCCUGGCUCUCAUAGGCUUGAACAGGGCCACAUGUCCAUUCCUGAGCCAAUAUUUGUGACCAAGGGGAUGUGGUCAAUCUCAUCCAAACCUCACUUGAAGUGAGGGUGGGAGGAGGAGUGCUCUGCAAGGAGACUGUAGGUCUGGACCACCAAAAAGGUAGAUGGGUUGGUGGGAAAAGCCAGAUGCCUACUAUGGUAGUGGGCGGGGGGAGGGCACACUGGCAAGGUACAGCAAGAGGCAGGGGCAGUGCUGGACAGGCAGGGGCUCCUCCCUAGCACGACUGGAGAAAGGACUCCUGUGAAGCGGUCACCUCCAUGAGUCCCUCCUGUCCUGGCUUCCAACCACUCUGAAGUGGGGCUUUUGUCCACAGACCUGGCCUCUGCUGCCUACCCUCUUCUGUCCCCACCUGAUGGGGCCGCUUUCCUUCUGAAGCGGCUGCAUUUUGGGUUUCUCUCCACAGGAAGAGUUGGGGCUCACAGGCACACCCUCUCCCUAACUCUUCUCCCCCGGUUCAACCUGGAUCCAGGGAUCCACACUCUGCUCCGAGAGGCCAGCACGCAGCCACUGGAAAAUGAGCCAGUGGGAGAGGGCAGCUCCAUGUUUAUUGAUCAGCAGACUAUGUCUUUUUGUUUGAAACUUCUAAAUAAGAUUACAAAAAGAAAAAAAAUAGAAGCAUUGCGUAUUAACUGCAUUGGUUAACCAACAUUGGAACCCAAUACUCUUGUAUUAGGCCCGCAUUUACCUGAGUAAACUCAGUGGUUUUCUGUCCUAAGCAUGCUUGCCUGCUACAUCCCAUGGAGAAAAUAAACAGUGAAACACUUUCCUCAUCUUCAAGGCAAUUGUCUCAGGCAUCCUCCAGGCAUCAUGAAGGAGGGUGAGCGAGGGUGCGAGGUGGAAAGGUCCAGGCCGCGGCUGUGACUCCCGCGGGUGAACCACAGCUCCACAGCCCCAAAUCCAAAGAUGCUCUUGCUGCAGCACGACAAGUGUUCAAAAGAGAACCAGGCCCAGCCCGGAGAAAGGAAAGCCAAAAGCCAACUGAAUGAAUGACCCUCCCCCAGAAGAGCAACCCUGCCCCCAGGCCAUCCAAGUGCGAACAUUACCAGGUGCCAGCAGGGAAAGGACUCCGCUGCCUGACGCCUCUCCCACCUGAGAGCGCAGAGGUAGGGAGAUCACAGUGCCUGAGAGGUUUUCCUCCACGGAGAAAUCAGAGACCUCAACCUGCUGCCCUCUAAAGCAGCUUUCUGUAUCCAGACAAAACUUACAUAUGUACACGUUGUUUUAAAACGACAUACUCAUGUGACACACAUGUAUAUAAAUUCAUGUUUAUAUAUGACAAUUGAGGAGAGUUAAAGAACAAGAUAAUUCUGGAUGGAAAAAUCAGUUUGCCUGGGCAUCUGUAAACCUUUGGGCAAGUGAAUUCCCUCUUCUCUCUCAGUUCACCCUUUGGUGACCUCCACCGUGGCUGCAGACUUCAGGUGGUCCUCACGCAUUCACAGAACUGUCUGCUUAGGUUACAGCACUUUGGGAGGCCGAGGUGGGUAGAUCACGAGGUCAGGAGAUCGAGACCAUAUUGACCAACAUGGUAAAACCCCAUCUCUACUAAAAUACAAAAAUUAGCCGGGCGUGGUGGCGGGUGCCUGUAGUCCCAGCUACUUGGGAGGCUGAGGCAGGGGAAUCACUUGAACCUGGGAGGCGGAGGUUGCAGUGAACUGAGAUUGCGCCACUGCACUCCAGCCUGGGUGACAGAGACUUCCUCUCAAAAUAAAAAUAAAAAUAAUAAAAUAAUAAAUGGUUCUUUUCUAUGCGUCUAAUGAAUUUAAGUGCUUGUUAAGACUAAAAACCAUGUUAUGCAUUUCCUGCUCUUAAAACUAAAUUAUGUAGAAAGUAAGCUAGGGAGUGUAAGGGUAGGCAUCUGGAUAUAAAUGCUUCUCCCAAAUCAAGAUUUUCUCUUCAAUCUGUGCCUUUGACCCUGUCACCAAAGGCAGGUGACAGAAAAAAAAAAUUAUGUGCCUUUUGGAAGACUCAGUGGGACGGUUCUGAUUUCAUUCACUUCUGGUGCCAGCAGGCCCCCAUACCAUGUGGCCAUUGCUGUUUCGUGUCUCUUCCUGCAUAAAUAAUGCAGAGAGGCCAUGCAGGUAUGCAAUUUUCUGGAGAUGAGGCAGGGAGAUUUGCAAGGAAAAGUCACCUACCUCCCCAAGCUGGUGCCCACAGAGGGGGAGGCACCUCCACCUGACGCAGGUGUCUGAGCAGCAGUCCAGAGAGGUUUACUCAGGGGAUUUGGGGAGCGCACACUCUGGAGCAGAAGUACAGGUAUGUGCCCGAAUCCUGCCUCGUGAUGGGCAUUCAUGAUACGAACCACACAGCCUUUAAAGAAAAGGUUUUAUAUGAAAGGUUCCAUUUUGUUUCUGUAUAAAGGCUUUUAUCCUGUAAGGAAAAAAAAAAAACACAAAACCC